UACGAAGGGGGCUAGCGUUGUUCGGAAUCACUGGGCGUAAAGCGCACGUAGGCGGGUUCUUAAGUCAGGGGUGAAAUCCCGAGGCUCAACCUCGGAACUGCCUUUGAUACUGGGAAUCUUGAGUUCGGGAGAGGUGAGUGGAAUUGCGAGUGUAGAGGUGAAAUUCGUAGAUAUUGGGAAGAACACCAGUGGCGAAGGCGGCUCACUGGCUCGUAUCUGACGCUCAGGCGCGAUAGCGUGGGGAUCAAACAGG
RNAcentral lists this ribosomal RNA (253 nucleotides) under uncultured bacterium. RNAcentral's name for it is "partial 16S ribosomal RNA". It matches the Rfam family "Bacterial small subunit ribosomal RNA", at positions 524 to 776 of the family's 1533-position model. The record is from RNAcentral.